AAAGGGAGACCUAAUUCAGGUAGUAGACGAAAAAAAAGUAGUCGCUACCAAGAAUCAAUCCCAAAAGGUCGGAGCGAGGCAAAAUUGGCUUUCAAACUAGGUUCUGGGUUCACACAAGACCUGAAUCAGGAACAAGGGCUAUUAGCUCAGGUGGUUAGAGCGCACCCCUGAUAAGGGUGAGGUCCCUGGUUCGAGUCCAGGAUGGCCCACCUGUACAGGUGGCAAAAAGAAGGAAAAGAAGCGAGGAAUCAGCACCUUAUCUUACUUACAUAGUAAGAGAGAAUGCUGGCUCUGAGUUCAGAGUCCAGAGGAACCUUGAAAACUGCAUAGAGCUAGGUGAAAAAGCCAAAAAAGAAGACCGCAAG
Molecule: transfer RNA, 365 nt
Filed under: uncultured Microcystis sp.
Lineage: Bacteria; Bacillati; Cyanobacteriota; Cyanophyceae; Chroococcales; Microcystaceae
Description: partial 16S-23S ribosomal RNA intergenic spacer
Rfam family: tRNA (bases 136-209)
Source: RNAcentral